Molecule: ribosomal RNA, 704 nt
Filed under: uncultured bacterium
Lineage: Bacteria
Description: bacterial SSU rRNA
Rfam family: Bacterial small subunit ribosomal RNA
Source: RNAcentral
AGCGGCGGACGGGUGAGUAACACGUGGGUAACCUGCCCAAGAGACUGGGAUAACACCUGGAAACAGAUGCUAAUACCGGAUAACAACACUAGACGCAUGUCUAGAGUUUGAAAGAUGGUUCUGCUAUCACUCUUGGAUGGACCUGCGGUGUAUUAGCUAGUUGGUAAGGUAACGGCUUACCAAGGCAAUGAUGCAUAGCCGAGUUGAGAGACUGAUCGGCCACAUUGGGACUGAGACACGGCCCAAACUCCUACGGGAGGCAGCAGUAGGGAAUCUUCCACAAUGGACGAAGGUCUGAUGGAGCAACGCCGCGUGAGUGAAGAAGGGUUUCGGCUCGUAAAGCUCUGUUGGUAGUGAAGAAAGAUAGAGGUAGUAACUGGCCCUUUAUUUGACGGUAAUUACUUAGAAAGUCACGGCUAACUACGUGCCAGCAGCCGCGGUAAUACGUAGGUGGCAAGCGUUGUCCGGAUUUAUUGGGCGUAAAGCGAGUGCAGGCGGUUCAAUAAGUCUGAUGUGAAAGCCUUCGGCUCAACCGGAGAAUUGCAUCAGAAACUGUUGAACUUGAGUGCAGAAGAGGAGAGUGGAACUCCAUGUGUAGCGGUGGAAUGCGUAGAUAUAUGGAAGAACACCAGUGGCGAACGCGGCCCUCUGGUCUGCAACUGACGCUGAGGCUCGAAAGCAUGGGUAGCGAACAGGAUUAGAUA